Molecule: small RNA, 84 nt
Filed under: Mandrillus leucophaeus (drill)
Lineage: Eukaryota; Metazoa; Chordata; Mammalia; Primates; Cercopithecidae
Description: Y RNA (ENSMLEG00000025553.1)
Source: RNAcentral
GGUAGUGAGUUACCUCAAUUGAUUGUUAGUCAGUUACAGAUCAAACCCCUUGUUCUACUCUUUCCACCCUUCUCACUCCUGCAC